CCCUUAGAUGUUCUGGGCUGCACGCGCGCUACACUGACGAAGUCAGCGAGCAUCUCCUACGCCGAAAGGUGCGGGGAAUCUUGUGAAACUUUGUCGUGCUGGGGAUUGAUUUUUGAAAUUCUUGAUCAUCAACGAGGAAUUCCUAGUAAGCGCAAGUCAGCAGCUUGCGUUGAUUACGUCCCUGCCCUUUGUACACACCGCCCGUCGCUACUACCGAUUGAAUGGUUUAGUGAGAUUUUUGGACUGGAACUCUCUUGUUCAGCAAUGAACGAGAGGGACUCUGGGAAGCUAUUCUAACUGUAUCAUUUAGAGGAAGUAAAAGUCGUAACA
This 330-nucleotide ribosomal RNA is filed under the name uncultured eukaryote. RNAcentral's name for it is "partial 18S ribosomal RNA". It matches the Rfam family "Eukaryotic small subunit ribosomal RNA", at positions 1470 to 1796 of the family's 1831-position model. The record is from RNAcentral.